UAGGGAAUCUUCCGCAAUGGGCGCAAGCCUGACGGAGCAACGCCGCGUGUGUGAAGAAGGUCUUCGGAUCGUAAAGCACUGUUGUUAGAGAAGAACGACCGCUAGAGUAACUGUUAGCGGAGUGACGGUAUCUAACCAGAAAGCCACGGCUAACUACGUGCCAGCAGCCGCGGUAAUACGUAGGUGGCAAGCGUUGUCCGGAUUUAUUGGGCGUAAAGGGAGCGCAGGCGGUGACUUAAGUCUGAUGUGAAAGCCCACGGCUCAACCGUGGAGGGUCAUUGGAAACUGGGUCGCUUGAGUGCAGAAGAGGAAAGUGGAAUUCCGUGUGUAGCGGUGAAAUGCGUAGAUAUAUGGAGGAACACCAGUGGCGAAGGCGACUUUCUGGUCUGUAACUGACGCUGAGGCUCGAAAGCGUGGGGAGCAAACAGG
This 429-nucleotide ribosomal RNA is filed under the name Fusobacteriota bacterium. RNAcentral describes it as "Fusobacteria bacterium partial 16S ribosomal RNA". It matches the Rfam family "Bacterial small subunit ribosomal RNA", at positions 355 to 776 of the family's 1533-position model. Lineage: Bacteria; Fusobacteriati; Fusobacteriota. The record is from RNAcentral.